GACGAACGCUGGCGGCGUGCCUAAUACAUGCAAGUAGAACGCUGAAGAGAGGAGCUUGCUCUUCUUGGAUGAGUUGCGAACGGGUGAGUAACGCGUAGGUAACCUGCCUGGUAGCGGGGGAUAACUAUUGGAAACGAUAGCUAAUACCGCAUAAAAUUGAUUAUUGCAUGAUAAUUAAUUGAAAGAUGCAAUUGCAUCACUACCAGAUGGACCUGCGUUGUAUUAGCUAGUUGGUGAGGUAACGGCUCACCAAGGCGACGAUACAUAGCCGACCUGAGAGGGUGAUCGGCCACACUGGGACUGAGACACGGCCCAGACUCCUACGGGAGGCAGCAGUAGGGAAUCUUCGGCAAUGGGGGGAACCCUGACCGAGCAACGCCGCGUGAGUGAAGAAGGUUUUCGGAUCGUAAAGCUCUGUUGUAAGAGAAGAACGGGUGUGAGAGUGGAAAGUUCACACUGUGA
Molecule: ribosomal RNA, 462 nt
Filed under: Streptococcus sanguinis
Lineage: Bacteria; Bacillati; Bacillota; Bacilli; Lactobacillales; Streptococcaceae
Description: bacterial SSU rRNA
Rfam family: Bacterial small subunit ribosomal RNA
Source: RNAcentral